This 197-nucleotide unclassified non-coding RNA is filed under the name plant metagenome. RNAcentral describes it as "partial contains small subunit ribosomal RNA, internal transcribed spacer 1, and 5.8S ribosomal RNA". The stretch from base 1 to 54 matches the Rfam family "Eukaryotic small subunit ribosomal RNA", at positions 1778 to 1831 of the family's 1831-position model. The record is from RNAcentral.
GGAAGUAAAAGCCGUAACAAGGUUUCCGUAGGUGAACCUGCGGAAGGAUCAUUAACAAAUCUGUGGUAUUGUUGCGUUGCAAGACGUGACACCAUUUGCUCCGUGUGCAUGUUUGUGCACAUUGUGACAUUUCUGCGAAUCAUCUGAUAUACCGAGAAAAACAUGAACAACUUUUAACAAUGGAUCUCUAGGCUCUU